RNAcentral lists this unclassified non-coding RNA (140 nucleotides) under Oryza sativa (Asian cultivated rice). RNAcentral's name for it is "partial microRNA MIR484x-4 precursor". The record is from RNAcentral. Lineage: Eukaryota; Viridiplantae; Streptophyta; Magnoliopsida; Poales; Poaceae.
UAUAUGUAAGACAAACUGUCUGAUUAUGAAGUGAAUGUGAGAGAUUUGUCCAUGUCAUCACGAGUAAAAGUUUUAUUUGUGGUGAUGUGGAUAAAUCUUAUACGUCAAUUUGUUUUAUCAUUUUUAGGUAUGCACUACAU